GUAACACUCCCCUUACGAAAAGUUAGUCCUUUCCAUACCUAUUGUUGCCUGUGCUUUUGAACACAACGUAGAACUGCUCAUAUAUGUACAGUCUCGGCAGCUCCUUGAAUAGAGAUAGUGGGGAAACGUUGCAUCCGUGUUACUAGUGUGAGGGGAGUAAGUGACACCCUUGACGUAAUCAAAUAAUGUCAAUGUACUUAUUAUUACUACGUAUUUAUCUAUAGUAAUGUGAUCUUAGCUACAAUUAUAAGAUCUCCGCGUAUGAAUACAUAACAUUAAGACGAUUUAAUCAUCUAGUUAUCUGACAUAAACCGACCUGAACUUUUGUCAUAUUAUUCCAUCUUGGGAUACAUGUUCACGCAAAUGUAUCUACGAAUUUAUAAGUCUUAAGGUAGAUGUAAUGUAUUACACUCUAUACGAUUACGUCACUUCAUGGUGCAGAAUAUCGAGUCAUAAUUUUGCUUGGAUAUCAAGAUUUAGUUUACAAUAUUAACACCAAUUUGGUGUUAACUAAUAAAUAGUUUGAUGGGCCAAAAGGAUUGGAGUCAUACUCGAAAGUGGAAAAAGGAACUAGCUAGACAAACAGAAUUACAAUUGAAUAAUUAAAAUGACACUCGUUACGAAGAUAUGUAGAGCAGCAAGUACACCUGUGAUUUGUGUGUUAUAUAUGUCAGCUCUAUAUGUUGGAUUUUACCUACUUAGGAGGGAAGAUGCGAAAAAACUUAGUCGUUUUCGAGAUAAAUCUGCUCUCUUUGGAAGAGAAUUAGCACCAGGAGAGCCACCAUCAUGGAGAUAAUUAAGUGAAAAUUAGUCUUAGAACUGU
This is a non-coding RNA of Nomia melanderi (Alkali bee), 823 nucleotides long. The record is from RefSeq and is a predicted model, not a curated record. Lineage: Eukaryota; Metazoa; Arthropoda; Insecta; Hymenoptera; Halictidae.